UUUAGUGGUUAAUUAAGAUAUUAUUAUGUACCUAUAUGUCAAGUUUCAUCAAAUUCUGAACGUCAAUACUAAAACCGGUAGUACUACCUUAAAUCACAAAAUCCUGAAAUUUUUAACU
Long non-coding RNA from Cotesia glomerata, 118 nucleotides. RefSeq lists it as uncharacterized. NCBI's taxonomy places the organism in Eukaryota, Metazoa, Arthropoda, Insecta, Hymenoptera, Braconidae. The record is from RefSeq and is a predicted model, not a curated record. The transcript has 3 exons.